GAAAGUCCGACGAUACAGGGUGAUAGUCCCGUAGUUGACGACGUGUGUUCAGUGAAAUCGAGUAGGGCGGGACACGUGAUAUCCUGUCUGAAUAUGGGGGGACCAUCCUCCAAGGCUAAAUACUACUGACUGACCGAUAGUGAACCAGUACCGUGAGGGAAAGGCGAAAAGAACCCCUGUGAGGGGAGUGAAAUAGAACCUGAAACCGUGUACGUACAAGCAGUAGGAGCAGGCUUUGUCCUGUGACUGCGUACCUUUUGUAUAAUGGGUCAGCGACUUAUAUUCAGUGGCAAGGUUAACCAUCUAGGGGAGCCGUAGGGAAACCGAGUCUUAACUGGGCGUUCAGUCUCUGGAUAUAGACCCGAAACCAGGUGAUCUAGCCAUGGGCAGGUUGAAGGUUGAGUAACAUCAACUGGAGGACCGAACCGACUAAUGUUGAAAAAUUAGCGGAUGACUUGUGGCUAGGGGUGAAAGGCCAAUCAAACCUGGAGAUAGCUGGUUCUCCCCGAAAGCUAUUUAGGUAGCGCCUCGGACGAAUACUACUGGGGGUAGAGCACUGUUAAGGCUAGGGGGUCAUCCCGACUUACCAACCCUUUGCAAACUCCGAAUACCAGUAAGUACUAUCCGGGAGACACACGGCGGGUGCUAACGUCCGUCGUGGAGAGGGAAACAACCCAGACCGCCAGCUAAGGUCCCAAAUUACUACUAAGUGGGAAACGAUGUGGGAAGGCUCAGACAGCCAGGAUGUUGGCUUAGAAGCAGCCAUCAUUUAAAGAAAGCGUAAUAGCUCACUGGUCGAGUCGGCCUGCGCGGAAGAUGUAACGGGGCUAAGUAGUAAACCGAAGCUGCGGCAAUAUACUUUUGUAUAUUGGGUAGGGGAGCGUUCUGUAAGCGGUUGAAGGUGUGUGGUAACGCAUGCUGGACGUAUCAGAAGUGCGAAUGCUGACAUGAGUAACGAUAAAGGGGGUGAAAAACCUCCUCGCCGGAAGACCAAGGGUUCCUGUCCAACGUUAAUCGGGGCAGGGUAAGUCGACCCCUAAGGCGAGGCCGAAAGGCGUAGUCGAUGGGAAACGGGUUAAUAUUCCCGUACUUCUUACAAUUGCGAUGGGGGGACGGAGAAGGCUAGGUGGGCCUGGCGACGGUUGUCCAGGUUCAAGUGCGUAGGCUUAAGAGUUAGGUAAAUCCGGCUCUUUCUAAGGCUGAGACACGACGUCGAGCACCUACGGGUGUGAAGUCAUUGAUGCCAUGCUUCCAGGAAAAGCCUCUAAGCUUCAGAUUGUAAGGAAUCGUACCCCAAACCGACACAGGUGGUCGGGUAGAGAAUACCAAGGCGCUUGAGAGAACUCGGGUGAAGGAACUAGGCAAAAUGGUACCGUAACUUCGGGAGAAGGUACGCUCUUGAUGGUGAAGUCCCUUGCGGAUGGAGCUGACGAGAGUCGCAGAUACCAGGUGGCUGCAACUGUUUAUUAAAAACACAGCACUGUGCAAAAUCGUAAGAUGACGUAUACGGUGUGACGCCUGCCCGGUGCCGGAAGGUUAAUUGAUGGGGUUAGACUUCGGUCGAAGCUCUUGAUCGAAGCCCCGGUAAACGGCGGCCGUAACUAUAACGGUCCUAAGGUAGCGAAAUUCCUUGUCGGGUAAGUUCCGACCUGCACGAAUGGCGUAAUGAUGGCCACGCUGUCUCCACCCGAGACUCAGUGAAAUUGAAAUCGCUGUGAAGAUGCAGUGUACCCGCGGCUAGACGGAAAGACCCCGUGAACCUUUACUACAGCUUGGCACUGAACAUUGACCCUACAUGUGUAGGAUAGGUGGGAGGCUUUGAAGCACGUACGCCAGUAUGUGUGGAGCCGUCCUUGAAAUACCACCCUUGUAGUGUUGAUGUUCUAACGUCGACCCCUAAUCGGGGUUGCGGACAGUGCCUGGUGGGUAGUUUGACUGGGGCGGUCUCCUCCCAAAGAGUAACGGAGGAGCACGAAGGUGGGCUAAUCACGGUUGGACAUCGUGAGGUUAGUGCAAUGGCAUAAGCCCGCUUGACUGCGAGAAUGACAAUUCGAGCAGGUGCGAAAGCAGGUCAUAGUGAUCCGGUGGUUCUGAAUGGAAGGGCCAUCGCUCAACGGAUAAAAGGUACUCCGGGGAUAACAGGCUGAUACCGCCCAAGAGUUCAUAUCGACGGCGGUGUUUGGCACCUCGAUGUCGGCUCAUCACAUCCUGGGGCUGAAGUCGGUCCCAAGGGUAUGGCUGUUCGCCAUUUAAAGUGGUACGCGAGCUGGGUUUAGAACGUCGUGAGACAGUUCGGUCCCUAUCUGCCGUGGGCGUUGGAAGAUUGAAGGGGGCUGCUCCUAGUACGAGAGGACCGGAGUGGACGAACCUCUGGUGUUCGGGUUGUGUCGCCAGACGCAUUGCCCGGUAGCUAAGUUCGGAAUCGAUAACCGCUGAAAGCAUCUAAGCGGGAAGCGAGCCCUGAGAUGAGUCUUCCCUGAUACUUUAAGUAUCCUAAAGGGUUGUCGGAGACUACGACGUUGAUAGGUCAGGUGUGUAAGUGCUGUGAGGCAUUGAGCUAACUGAUACUAAUUGCCCGUGAGGCUUAACCAUACAACAC
This 2599-nucleotide ribosomal RNA is filed under the name Vibrio parahaemolyticus. Its description in RNAcentral is "partial 23S ribosomal RNA". It matches the Rfam family "Bacterial large subunit ribosomal RNA", at positions 345 to 2925 of the family's 2925-position model. Lineage: Bacteria; Pseudomonadati; Pseudomonadota; Gammaproteobacteria; Vibrionales; Vibrionaceae. The record is from RNAcentral.